GAUGAACGCUGGCGGCGUGCCUAAUACAUGCAAGUCGAGCGAACAGACGAGGAGCUUGCUCCUCUGACGUUAGCGGCGGACGGGUGAGUAACACGUGGAUAACCUACCUAUAAGACUGGGAUAACUUCGGGAAACCGUAGCUAAUACCGGAUAAUAUAUUGAACCGCAUGGUUCAAUAGUGAAAGACGGUUUUGCUGUCACUUAUAGAUGUAUCCGCGCCGCAUUAGCUAGUUGGUAAGGUAACGGCUUACCAAGGCAACGAUGCGUAGCCGACCUGGGAGGGUGAUGGGCCCCUCUGGAACUGAGCCACGGCACUGACUCUUACGGGCGGCCGCGGUAGGGACUCUUCCGCGCUGGGCGGAAUCUUGCCGGAGCAACGCCGGCUGAGUGAUGAAGGUCUUCGGAUCGUAAAACUCUGUUAUUAGGGUAGAACAAAUGCGUAAGUAACUAUGCACGUCUUGACGGUACCUAAACAGAAAGCCCCGGCUAACUACGUG
Molecule: ribosomal RNA, 497 nt
Filed under: uncultured bacterium
Lineage: Bacteria
Description: partial 16S ribosomal RNA
Rfam family: Bacterial small subunit ribosomal RNA
Source: RNAcentral